This 501-nucleotide ribosomal RNA is filed under the name uncultured bacterium. RNAcentral's name for it is "partial 16S ribosomal RNA". It matches the Rfam family "Bacterial small subunit ribosomal RNA", at positions 30 to 523 of the family's 1533-position model. The record is from RNAcentral.
AUUGAACGCUGGCGGCAGGCUUAACACAUGCAAGUCGAGCGGAGAUGAGGUGCUUGCACCUUAUCUUAGCGGCGGACGGGUGAGUAAUGCUUAGGAAUCUGCCUAUUAGUGGGGGACAACAUUCCGAAAGGAAUGCUAAUACCGCAUACGUCCUACGGGAGAAAGCAGGGGAUAUUCGGACCUUGCGCUAAUAGAUGAGCCUAAGUCGGAUUAGCUAGUUGGUGGGGUAAAGGUCCACCAAGUAGGCGAUCUGUAGCGGGUCUGAGAGGAUGAUCCGCCACACUGGGACUGAGACACGGCCCAGACUCCUACGGGAGGCAGCAGUGGGGAAUAUUGGACAAUGGGGGGAACCCUGAUCCAGCCAUGCCGCGUGUGUGAAGAAGGCCUUAUGGUUGUAAAGCACUUUAAGCGAGGAGGAGGCUACUGAGACUAAUACUCUUGGAUAGUGGACGUUACUCGCAGAAUAAGCACCGGCUAACUCUGUGCCAGCCGCCGCCGUAA